GCGGAAAGGGCAGCGAUCUAUAUCUCGACGAGGAACCACGCGCAUGUCCGGCCCGUCCCGUCAAGUACCGGACGGUGCGCGCGCCCUUCUUCUAAUUUUUGUGUGCUAGAACCAGAAGAAAGAACCAAGGCGCAGUACCAACAGCUCCCCUUACUGCGGCCCAGGCUUUCUCUCUGCGCGCGUACCGCACGCACACCGCGCAAAGCCUGGUCCGAAGUAAGGGGUACUGAGGUAGUACCAAGUCCAAGUGCCUGAGCCAGCCGUAGCCGGCCACAAGAACACUCGAGGCGGACACGGAGGGAGGCACACCAGACUUCGUGUCGUCUGCUGGGGGGCGUUGAUCGCUUCCAUUGUCACGUUCAUCUAUAACAGAAGAUUACCUAACACUCUAGUUAUGAAGAGACGGUACCGACGACGUCAUCUGAACGAGACCAGACCUGUAACUCGCUCGGCCGACUGGCCGGCUGCGUGCCUGUACGUACCUCCGACACGUUUCAUUUCGAACGAACGAGACGUUGAGUUGACUCGUAGCUACGUCGAAGUCGCUAUGUACUGUUGGUGGGUGAUGGUCGAUGUAUAGGAGAAUAGAGGAACCGAUUAAAGUCCGACUACUACUAACCUUAUCCCUUCCUAUAGAAGUUCUACGCCACGCGCGUACCGUCUACCCAGCUGUAUUUAGUUGAGGUCUCGUUGAUACGAAUGUCAAUGUCGUUUCGUUUCUCUCCUUGGUGUCAAACUAGUCCAUCAGGUUCUGGUGGUUUUCGAUAGUCGGACAGAAGUCUUACAUUCGACCUAGGACGUUACAGUCUCGGACGUACGACGUUCACAGUCUAAAUCCACGUUUGUAAGUCGUAGUUCCGUUGACGUUAGUGUUCAAACAUUGUGGUGCAUUACCGACGCCGUGGCAAUUUAAUUGAGGUCUACGACGAAACUAAAGUAAAGUAAAACAAAGUAGUGACUACCGAGACCCCACGUAGCUUACAGUUAAAGUCAAUAAGUGUCGGUUUUCCCUUUGUUCGUGAAUUUUAUGUCUGUGUACUGUUGUAGUCGUGCGCGACAUGACAAAGGCUGUUGUAUCCCUACUCAACGAACGGCGUCACGUCCAAUGGUGAACAACCUUGUUCGAAGAAGUAGAGUGUGACCAAUGGGGAAGAUCAUGUUGUUUUACAUUGUACGUUUUGUCUAAGUCUCCUUACACAAUUCGAACCGUAAGGGGAAGAUGUUAUUUAAGAUUGUGCGUUUUGUUGUUAUUAAUUUUUAUUCAUUUGUUUUAUAGGCAUGUAAAAAAUUUUUAGUAACAUGAAAGUGUUUUGGCAA
Molecule: ribosomal RNA, 1317 nt
Filed under: Triticum aestivum (bread wheat)
Lineage: Eukaryota; Viridiplantae; Streptophyta; Magnoliopsida; Poales; Poaceae
Description: partial small subunit ribosomal RNA
Source: RNAcentral